AUGAGUGAUAACGAGGAUAAAAUAUUGGAUACAGUGUCAGACUUUGUCUCUGUGGUAGAUUUUUUUGUUUCAAUAUUUUUAUUUGUUACAGAGGAAGAGUUCAAUCUGGAGACUGGGAAGGGAAAUUACUGUGAUGUAAAGACAAAAGCAGCCCCUGGCGAUAGGUCCAAGUCCAGAGAAAGGCUUCCUCCUAGCUGCUCUUGGUGCCCGACAGUGAAAAAGACUGACAGAACUACCUCAAAGGGCAGAGAGGCAUUACACUAAUCAAAUGAGAGAAGCUAACAAGGAUGACAAGCGUUGCAAAUCUUAAAGCUCUAGGCAAGUGUUAGCUCCUAUUUUCCCAUCGGUCUGAGGCGGUCUGUAUAUUUUUCCUGCUCCACCAUUAGGGACGUCACAUUUGCCACUCCUGAGAGCCCCAGCUCAGACAGAAAAGCUCCUCCAUCGGGCCAUUCCCCCAGGUCACUGGGGUUCGAGACCCUCUGCAGUAUCUACGCGUCCUGAGGACCACUGCGGAGGGAUUCAAGCUCUAAGCGAAUCCUGAGAGCAGAUGUAGACUGGUGGGCCAUGAACCGAACCCUUGCCUCGGCAAAUCCUUGGCUGCCCCUCUCUGUUCUUGGACGUUGGCUCCUCAUCCUCUCCAGCCUCUCUAGCCCUCCUCUGCAGGUGUCCUUCUGUCCUUUCUGACUCUCCUCUCGGGGGCCUGGGUCUGAACAGAGGAGAAUAACCCUGCACACACCUCUCCUUAGAUCCCUGGCCAGGCUGUGAUUAAGAAAGGCUGACGGUGCACUGAGCUGGAAGUCUCAGCUGGGAGUUGGAAACCAGAGAGCAAACAGAGCACCCGAGCAGAAUCUGGAGCAGUAAAAGGAUCUCACGACUGCAACUGGUGCUGGAAGACCUCCACGGGGCCAGGUUUGGGGUGAGCGAGGCACUGCACAACCUCCUUUUGGGAGGUGGGGGUCCGUGCUAGUCAUGGGAAGAGCAGGUGGGGGCUGGGGAGGGGGUUAGCCCUGGGGCUGUACCCUCUCCUGUUUAGGGACGGGGGUGGGGGGGGCAAGCUGUGUGACAAGAUCAGGUUUUGGAGUCCCCCGGCUGAAGCUAUGCCAGAAGAGCGGACGAAAACCAAGUGCUCUCUUGGAGAAGGGGGCGGGCUCGUGUUUUGGUUU
RNAcentral lists this long non-coding RNA (1163 nucleotides) under Monodelphis domestica (gray short-tailed opossum). Its description in RNAcentral is "lncRNA (ENSMODG00000051234.1)". Lineage: Eukaryota; Metazoa; Chordata; Mammalia; Didelphimorphia; Didelphidae. The record is from RNAcentral.